Molecule: small nuclear RNA, 23 nt
Filed under: Arabidopsis thaliana (thale cress)
Lineage: Eukaryota; Viridiplantae; Streptophyta; Magnoliopsida; Brassicales; Brassicaceae
Description: snRNA_13871
Source: RNAcentral
CGUCCAAGGCUAAAUACGGGCGA